Molecule: ribosomal RNA, 465 nt
Filed under: Vreelandella stevensii
Lineage: Bacteria; Pseudomonadati; Pseudomonadota; Gammaproteobacteria; Oceanospirillales; Halomonadaceae
Description: partial 16S ribosomal RNA
Rfam family: Bacterial small subunit ribosomal RNA
Source: RNAcentral
CCUACGGGGGGCAGCAGUGGGGAAUAUUGGACAAUGGGGGCAACCCUGAUCCAGCCAUGCCGCGUGUGUGAAGAAGGCCCUCGGGUUGUAAAGCACUUUCAGUGAGGAAGAACGCCUGGUGGUUAAUACCCAUCAGGAAAGACAUCACUCACAGAAGAAGCACCGGCUAACUCCGUGCCAGCAACCGCGGUAAUACGGAGGGUGCGAGCGUUAAUCGGAAUUACUGGGCGUAAAGCGCGCGUAGGUGGCUUGAUAAGCCGGUUGUGAAAGCCCCGGGCUCAACCUGGGAACGGCAUCCGGAACUGUCAAGCUAGAGUGCAGGAGAGGAAGGUAGAAUUCCCGGUGUAGCGGUGAAAUGCGUAGAGAUCGGGAGGAAUACCAGUGGCGAAGGCGGCCUUCUGGACUGACACUGACACUGAGGUGCGAAAGCGUGGGUAGCAAACAGGAUUAGAUACCCUUGUAGUC